Lagopus leucura (white-tailed ptarmigan) is the source of this 3698-nucleotide RNA transcript. It is a transcript of the gene named adaptor related protein complex 3 subunit sigma 1, with no coding region annotated. NCBI's taxonomy places the organism in Eukaryota, Metazoa, Chordata, Aves, Galliformes, Phasianidae. The record is from RefSeq and is a predicted model, not a curated record. The transcript is spliced from 8 exons.
GUCACGUGCCGCCGGGGCUGUUCCGUCGCUCAGGGCUGCGGCUCGCCGGAGCGCCGCUGGCCCCACCAUGAUCAAAGCCAUCCUCAUCUUCAACAACCACGGCAAGCCGCGGCUCUCCAAGUUCUACCAGCGCUACAGUGAAGAUACACAGCAACAAAUUAUCAGAGAAACCUUCCACUUGGUAUCCAAACGUGAUGAAAAUGUCUGUAAUUUUCUAGAAGGAGGCUUAUUAAUAGGUGGAUCUGAUAACAAACUGAUUUACCGACACUAUGCCACCUUGUAUUUUGUGUUUUGCGUGGAUUCUUCAGAAAGCGAGCUUGGCAUUUUAGACCUGAUACAAGUCUUUGUGGAAACACUAGACAAAUGUUUCGAAAAUGUCUGCGAGCUGGAUUUAAUUUUCCAUGUAGACAAGGUCCAUAAUAUAUUGGCUGAAAUGGUUAUGGGUGGAAUGGUUCUGGAGACCAACAUGAAUGAAAUUGUCACUCAGAUUGAUGCUCAGAAUAAACUGGAAAAAUCUGAGGCUGGUUUAGCAGGAGCUCCAGCCCGGGCUGUUUCAGCUGUAAAGAAUAUGAAUCUGCCAGAGAUCCCAAGAAAUAUUAAUAUUGGUGACAUCAGUAUAAAAGUGCCAAACCUGCCCACUUUUAAAUAACAUGGCUACUCCAGGUAGCAGCUUCUGACUCCAAACAGUGAAAUUCUUAGAGAACUAGCCUCAGUCAAAGCUUUCCCUCCACCAAGGAAAAGUCCCUGCCUGGAAGAGAGGCAAGUUCACUCGUUCACUCUGCUGCAAAUAAAUGUGCAGAGACUGGAGGCUUUGCCUUAACACAAAGACUUGCAGAUCUUCUACCUGCUUACCAGGGUUGGCUUCUGGAGCUUAUGAACAUAAAACAUACUGAAGAAGAUUUAAAUCAAGAAAAAAGAAUGGUUGGAGUAUAUUCCCACUGCCUGAAUUUCAAUGCCCAGCUUUUACUCCAGUAGAUUUUGAGAGCUAAGUAUAGGAUGAAGGCAUCUUCAUCCAGGUCACUGAUGAAGAUGUUGAACAAGAUCAGACCCAGCACUGACUCCUGGGGUAUACCACUAGUACAGGCCUCCAGUUGGACUCUGUGCCACUGAUCUCAACUCUGAGCUCUGCCAGUCAGCCAGUUCUCAACCCACCUCACCAUCCACUCAUCUGCUUGUACUUAGCUUCAUUGCAAGGAUGCUGUGGUGUCUACCUUGCUGAAGUCAAGGUACACAACAUCCACGGCUCUCUCCCCAUCCACCUGGUCAGUGGUGACAUCAUAGAAGUCUACCAUGUUGGUCAAGCAUAAUUUCCUCCUUGUGAAUCCGUGGUGACUACUCCCAGUAACCUUCUUCACUUCAAUUGCUUGGAGAUGGCAUGACUGUAUUGUUUUGCUGUUUAUUUCAUUACUCUUGUUUAUUUUAUACAAGAGCUGCUUCUUAUUGUCAGAUUUCCUGUUAAGUUCAGGUAAAUUAAUGACUACAACUGUUUGUUGUUGUUUGUUUUUCUUUACUUUUUUUUUUUUUUUUUUUGAGGGUGGAGAUGCAAUGAACUGUUGCAACAUGAACAUUUUUCCAGUUGAAGCCUUAUUUGGAAUAGCAACAAUCUUUAACACCAUUCUGCAUGAGCAAGCGGAUCAGACCAGAUGAUCUCUGAAAGUCUCUGCCAACCUCAACCAUUCUCUGAUUCCACGUUAAAAUGUGCAAUGUAAAUAAGCAAGCAGAUGUUCAGAAUUCCCCCCUUUCUUUUCCUGUUGAAAAUCUACUGUCUUAGUUCUAUGAUUGUUUGGACCCAUUCCUGGAAAUCUUUUUAAGUUAAAAAUUCCGGUAAUGCUGUCUUGCUGCUUGUCAUCCUCAUUCAUUUGCAGCUGGAAACAAAAGUGCCUUGCUGACACUUACAAUACAGAUUAACAGCGACUUUAAAUGCCUGUGAGUUCAGCUGUACAUGUUCACACAAGAUGUUUUUAAUAGAAUGAGUUGGAAGUGACCUUACAUCCAUAACACUGCCAGAGACAACUCUGACAGUCACUAUCUCAGCCUGCCCAGGGUCCCAUCCAAUCUGGCUUUGAUCAAAUACUUCCAGGGACAGGACACCCACAGCCCCUCUGGGCAACCUGCACCAGCGCCUCACCACACUGAGUAAAGAAUUUCUUCCUAAUAUCAAGUCUAAACCUUCUUUUGGUUUAAAGCCACUACCUUUGUCUUAGCACUACAUGCCUCUCCUUCUUUUUUGUAGACCCAUUAGGUACUGGAAGGCUGCAAUGAAGUAUUCCUGCAGCUUUCUCUUCUCCAGGCUUAACGAGCCCAGCUGCCUCAACCUUUCUUCAUAAGAGAGGUGAUUAAGCUGCUGAUCUUUGCGGCUCUCCUCUGGAGCUGCUCCAACAGCUCCAUGUCUUUGUUAUGCUGCAGACGCUAAUGCUGAAUGCAGCACUCCAGGUAUGAUCUCACAAGAGUGGCAUAGAGAAUCAACUCCCUUGACCUGCUAGUUAGGUUUCUUUUCAUGCAGCUCAGGAUACAACUGCCUUUCUGGGCUGCAACUGUUCAUGUUGUUGUCUCAUGUUCAGUUUUUUGUCCACCAGUACCCUCAAACCUACCUCCUCAAGGCUGCUCUCCACCACUCACUGCCCAGCCUGUAUUCAUGUCUGGGAUUGCCCUGCAAUCCAGGUGCAGAGCCUGGUAUUUGACCUUACUGAGCUGCAUUUGGUGCAUUUUGAGAGGGCUCACCUCUCAAGCCUGUCCUUGCCCCAUUGGAUGGCUCCUUUGUCCUUCAAUAUAUUGACUUCACCACUCAGUGUGGUAUUGAUCUCAAACUUGCUGAGGCUGCACUCAGUCCCACAGUACGUCACUGAGAAAGAUAUUGAAGGAACCAGCCUCAAUAAUGACCCUUAAGAAACAGCACCACUGGUCUCCUCAUUGAUACAGAGCUGUUCCCAAUGGUUCGAAUGCAGCAGCUCCACCUACCAUUUCUCUUAGGACCCUUUGUUGUACGUCAUUAAGUCCCACAGAUUUGUGCACAUACAAAUUUCUUAGAUGAUAGUUUUGAAUGUGGUCUUCUCCUACAGCUGACAGUACUUCAUUUUUCCAUUCCAUGCAUUCAGGUGCUGUGAAUUGGGCGCUGGUAGUAGUAAGGGAGCCAGCAUGGCAACGGAGAUGGCAACAACAAUAAACACAGUUAUUGGGCAACAGUCAGCUUGGUCCCAGUUUCACAGGGAUAGACACAAUGUUGAAAUGAAAUCACCAUUCCCCCAUGGUGAAGUCUUUUUUUCUCGCCUAUUAUGAUCACAGCACUUUAUUUUAGGGAUGAGACAGUGAAUUUGGGGAAAUGAGAGAUAAUCCUUGGGAUGCAAUCCAGUCUUUAUUUUUAUUUCAGUUUCUACUGCAUUCUACCCAUGGCAAACAACCACUGAGAUAUUUGAUUGGAUCCAAGAUUGUCAUUUUAUGAUGCAAUAAAAUAUGUUGAUGUAAUUGAAGCAUCUAUUGUGUGAGUAAAGGACAAGAUGAUUAAGUUGUAAAAGUAGCAUGGUGACAGAAAUGUAGCUCAUUUACUUUUAUUUUUCUUUUUUAAAUGCAACAGUUUUGUUAACUAAUCUUUGGAAUCAUGCCCAGUUUGAGAAGGAAAAUUAAUCCAAGUGAGCAUACGCUCAUACAUAGUUGCUCUAUUCAGAAAUAAAAUUCUGUAUAGCUGCUUCUGGUCCAACAAA